UAAACGAUGUCGACUUGGAGGUUGUGGCUUCCGGAGCUAACGCGUUAAGUCGACCGCUGGGGAGUACGGCCGCAAGGUUAAAACUCAAAUGAAUUGACGGGGGCCCGCACAAGCGGUGGAGCAUGUGGUUUAAUUCGAUGCAACGCGAAGAACCUUACCUGGUCUUGACAUCCAGGUGCUGCAUGGCUGUCGUCAGCUCGUGUUGUGAAAUGUUGGGUUAAGUCCCGCAACGAGCGCAACCCUUAUCCUUUGUUGCAACUCAAAGGAGACUGCCAGUGAUAAACUGGAGGAAGGUGGGGAUGACGUCAAGUCAUCAUGGCCCUUACGACCAGGGCUACACACGUGCUACAAUGGCGCAUACAAAGAGAAGCGACCUCGCGAGAGCAAGCGGACCUCAUAAAGUGCGUCGUAGUCCGGAUUGGAGUCUGCAACUCGACUCCAUGAAGUCGGAAUCGCUAGUAAUCGUGGAUCAGAUGCCACGGUGAAUACGUUCCCGGGCCUUGUACACACCGCCCGUCACACCAUGGGAGUGGGUUGCAAAAGAAGUAGGUUACCACUUUGUGAUUCAUGACUGGGGUGAAGUCGUAACAAGGUAACCGA
This 600-nucleotide ribosomal RNA is filed under the name uncultured bacterium. RNAcentral's name for it is "bacterial SSU rRNA". It matches the Rfam family "Bacterial small subunit ribosomal RNA", at positions 803 to 1503 of the family's 1533-position model. The record is from RNAcentral.